Molecule: ribosomal RNA, 552 nt
Filed under: Escherichia coli
Lineage: Bacteria; Pseudomonadati; Pseudomonadota; Gammaproteobacteria; Enterobacterales; Enterobacteriaceae
Also listed under: 2 other names
Description: bacterial SSU rRNA
Rfam family: Bacterial small subunit ribosomal RNA
Source: RNAcentral
AUGGGAUUAGCUAGUAGGUGGGGUAACGGCUCACCUAGGCGACGAUCCCUAGCUGGUCUGAGAGGAUGACCAGCCACACUGGAACUGAGACACGGUCCAGACUCCUACGGGAGGCAGCAGUGGGGAAUAUUGCACAAUGGGCGCAAGCCUGAUGCAGCCAUGCCGCGUGUAUGAAGAAGGCCUUCGGGUUGUAAAGUACUUUCAGCGGGGAGGAAGGGAGUAAAGUUAAUACCUUUGCUCAUUGACGUUACCCGCAGAAGAAGCACCGGCUAACUCCGUGCCAGCAGCCGCGGUAAUACGGAGGGUGCAAGCGUUAAUCGGAAUUACUGGGCGUAAAGCGCACGCAGGCGGUUUGUUAAGUCAGAUGUGAAAUCCCCGGGCUCAACCUGGGAACUGCAUCUGAUACUGGCAAGCUUGAGUCUCGUAGAGGGGGGUAGAAUUCCAGGUGUAGCGGUGAAAUGCGUAGAGAUCUGGAGGAAUACCGGUGGCGAAGGCGGCCCCCUGGACGAAGACUGACGCUCAGGUGCGAAAGCGUGGGGAGCAAACAGGAUU